GUAAUAUAUAGAUAACGUGCCUCUUAGUCUGGGAUAGCCAUUGGAAACGAUGAUUAAUACCGGAUACUCCUUCUAACUCUAAUGUUAGUCGGGAAAGUUUUUCGCUAAGAGAUCGGUCUAUAUCCCAUCAGUUAGUUGGUAAGGUAACGGCUUACCAAGGCAAUGACGGGUAGCGGGUUUGAGAGGAUGAUCCGCCACACUGGUACUGAGACACGGACCAGACUCCUACGGGAGGCAGCAGUGAGGAAUAUUGCACAAUGGGGGAAACCCUGAUGCAGCAACGCCGCGUGGAGGAUGACGCAUUUCGGUGUGUAAACUCCUUUUAUGAGUCAAGAAAAUGACGGUAGCUCAUGAAUAAGCACCGGCUAACUCCGUGCCAGCAGCCGCGGUAAUACGGAGGGUGCAAGCGUUACUCGGAAUCACUGGGCGUAAAGGACGCGUAGGCGGGAUGCCAAGUCUGAUGUGAAAUCCUAUGGCUUAACCAUAGAACUGCAUUGGAAACUGGUAACCUAGAGUAUGGGAGGGGGAGAUGGAAUUAGUGGUGUAGGGGGUAAAAUCCGUAGAUAUCACUAGGAAUACCGAAAGCGAAGGCGAUCUCCUGGAACAUAACUGACGCUAAGGCGUGAAAGCGUGGGGAGCAAACGGGAUUAGAUACCCCGGUAGUCCACGCCCUAAACGAUGAACACUAGUCGUCGCUCUGCUUGUCAGGGCGGUGAUGCACUUAACAGAUUAAGUGUUCCGCCUGGGGAGUACGGUCGCAAGAUUAAAACUCAAAGGAAUAGACGGGGACCCGCACAAGUGGUGGAGCAUGUGGUUUAAUUCGAAGAUACGCGAAGAACCUUACCUAGCCUUGACAUUGAUAGAAUACCCUAGAGAUAGAGUAGUGCCUUUCGGGGAACUUGAAAACAGGUGCUGCACGGCUGUCGUCAGCUCGUGUCGUGAGAUGUUGGGUUAAGUCCCGCAACGAGCGC
Molecule: ribosomal RNA, 971 nt
Filed under: uncultured bacterium
Lineage: Bacteria
Description: bacterial SSU rRNA
Rfam family: Bacterial small subunit ribosomal RNA
Source: RNAcentral